CCGGAGGAAGGUGGGGAUGACGUCAAGUCCUCAUGGCCUUUAUGACCAGGGCUACACACGUACUACAAUGGCCGGUACAAAGGGCAGCCACUUAGCGAUAAGGAGCCAAUCCCGUAAAGCCGGUCUCAGUCCGGAUUGGAGUCUGCAACUCGACUCCAUGAAGUUGGAAUCGCUAGUAAUCGCAGAUCAGCACGCUCGCGGUCCGAAUACGUUCCGGGCCUU
This 222-nucleotide ribosomal RNA is filed under the name uncultured Desulfocapsa sp. Its description in RNAcentral is "partial 16S ribosomal RNA". It matches the Rfam family "Bacterial small subunit ribosomal RNA", at positions 1163 to 1382 of the family's 1533-position model. Lineage: Bacteria; Pseudomonadati; Thermodesulfobacteriota; Desulfobulbia; Desulfobulbales; Desulfocapsaceae. The record is from RNAcentral.